RNAcentral lists this ribosomal RNA (385 nucleotides) under uncultured bacterium. RNAcentral describes it as "bacterial SSU rRNA". It matches the Rfam family "Bacterial small subunit ribosomal RNA", at positions 30 to 424 of the family's 1533-position model. The record is from RNAcentral.
AUUGAACGCUGGCGGCAUGCCUUACACAUGCAAGUCGAACGGUAACGGGUUAAGCUGACGAGUGGCGAACGGGUGAGUAAUGUAUCGGAACGUGCCCAGUCGUGGGGGAUAACUGCUCGAAAGAGCAGCUAAUACCGCAUACGACCUGAGGGUGAAAGCGGGGGAUCGCAAGACCUCGCGCGAUUGGAGCGGCCGAUAUCAGAUUAGGUAGUUGGUGGGGUAAAAGCCUACCAAGCCAACGAUCUGUAGCUGGUCUGAGAGGACGACCAGCCACACUGGGACUGAGACACGGCCCAGACUCCUACGGGAGGCAGCAGUGGGGAAUUUUGGACAAUGGGCGCAAGCCUGAUCCAGCCAUGCCGCGUGCGGGAAGAAGGCCUCGGUU